GAUGAAGAACGUAGCGAAAUGCGAUAAGUAAUGUGAAUUGCAGAAUUCAGUGAAUCAUCGAAUCUUUGAACGCACAUUGCGGCCCCUGGUAUUCCGGGGGGCAUGCCUGUUCGAGCGUCAUUUCACCACUCAAGCCUCGCUUGGUAUUGGGCAACGCGGUCCGCCGCGUGCCUCAAAUCGACCGGCUGGGUCUUCUGUCCCCUAAGCGUUGUGGAAACUAUUCGCUAAAGGGUGUUCGGGAGGCUACGCCGUAAAACAACCCCAUUUCUAAGGUUGACCUCGGAUCAGGUAGGGAUACCCGCUGAACUUAAGCAUAUCAAUAAGCGGAGGA
Molecule: unclassified non-coding RNA, 331 nt
Filed under: soil metagenome
Description: partial contains 5.8S ribosomal RNA, internal transcribed spacer 2, and large subunit ribosomal RNA
Rfam family: 5.8S ribosomal RNA (bases 1-120)
Source: RNAcentral